UGUCCCAAAUGUCCAUAUCCCACUCCCUCCAUCCCACACCCUAAGCACCACCCGAAGCACCCUCCCAAGGUGAAACCCUACCCUAAGCCCAAACCUCACCCUCCAAAGCCACCAGUAGUUGGCCCUCCUAAACCUCCUCCGGUUGUCCCACCACCACUCCCACCUGUAGUUGUUCCCCAACCUCCUCCCUAUGUGAAGCCUCCGCCUGUGCCGCCCGUUGUCGGUCCACCCAAGCCUCCUCCGGUGGUGUACCCCCCCGUGCCGCCUGUUGUCGGUCCACCCAAGCCUCCUCCGGUGGUGUACCCGCCCGUUCCGCCCGUUGUCGGGCCACCCAAGCCUCCUCCGGUGGUGUACCCGCCCGUUCCGCCUGUUGUCGGGCCACCCAAGCCACCUCCGGUGGUGUACCCACCCCAGCCGUGCCCGCCGCCGCCGCCGCCGCCGCCCAAGGAGACAUGCCCGGCGGACACGCUGAAGCUGGGAGCCUGCGUCGACCUGAUCAGCGGCAUGAUACCCAUUCGGAUCGGGGCGGACGCCAAGUCGACGUG
Molecule: long non-coding RNA, 545 nt
Filed under: Musa acuminata (dwarf banana)
Lineage: Eukaryota; Viridiplantae; Streptophyta; Magnoliopsida; Zingiberales; Musaceae
Description: long non-coding RNA (MACU_LNC003011)
Source: RNAcentral